UUGGAGGGCAAGUCUGGUGCCAGCAGCCGCGGUAAUUCCAGCUCCAAUAGCGUAUAUUAAAGUUGUUGCAGUUAAAAAGCUCGUAGUUGAAUUUCGGGAUCGAUGGGUCGGUCAUGCCCUCGGUAUGUACUGAUCCCACUGGUCCUCACCUUCUAAGGAACCAUGAUGUCAUUCAUUUGAUGUUGUGGGGAAUUAGGACUGUUACCUUGAAAAAAUUAGAGUGUUUAAAGCAGGCUAACGCUUGAAUACAUUAGCAUGGAAUAAUAAAAUAGGACGGCAUGGUUCUAUUUUGUUGGUUUCUAGGAUCACCGUAAUGAUUAAUAGGGAUAGUUGGGGGCAUUAGUAUUCAAUUGUCAGAGGUGAAAUUCUUGGAUUUAUUGAAGACUAACUUCUGCGAAAGCAUUUGCCAAGGAUGUUUUCAUUAAUCAAGAACGAAAGUUAGGGGAUCGAAGACGAUCAGAUACCGUCGUAGUCUUAACCAUAAACUAUGCCGACUAGGGAUCGGACGAUGUUAAUUUUUUAAUGACUCGUUCGGCGCCUUACGGGAAAC
This 550-nucleotide ribosomal RNA is filed under the name uncultured Glomus. RNAcentral's name for it is "SSU rRNA". It matches the Rfam family "Eukaryotic small subunit ribosomal RNA", at positions 548 to 1098 of the family's 1831-position model. Lineage: Eukaryota; Fungi; Glomeromycota; Glomeromycetes; Glomerales; Glomeraceae. The record is from RNAcentral.